UUAAAGUUCUUUACUAGAGGCUUAUUUUCAUUACAUUUAAGCUUUACUUUCCUCACAAGCAGCACCUCCCAGCCUCACAUGUGAUAUCAACAAAGAUCAAUAAAAGAGGUUAUCUUUAGCCACAGACACACAAAGCCUCCCAAUCAGCAGCAGGAGUCUCAUUCCCCUCACCUGUAGACUUGCAGGCCCCAGAUGCACCUCACCAUCAGCCAAGCUCUUAAAGGGAGGGGAAGGGUGGAGAACGUCAGACCCUCCGAGUUUCAAUCCCUGCUUUGCCACUCGCGAGUUGUGAGAUCUUGGGUAUUUUUAAACUUGGAGAGAAGAAGUGAUGCAUGACAACUGUAUCAGAUCCCUUGGCUCAUCUAUUUUAACAUGCUGCAUUACCGAAGCGCCGCAGGCUGACUGCCCUCUUCCAGACUCACGCUUGCUGACACCUGCUGCAUUUCCAAGGCACCUCGGCGGCGGCGAGAGGCUUCCGUGCUCACCCGCACAGGUGAACCCAAGGCGCUUUCCUUCAGUCUGUUUCGGCUUUGGUCGGGGAGAAGAGUUGGCUGUUGCCACUGCCAGAGAUGCUUCUAGACACACUGCAGGGAUUCUUUUUAGGGUACGUGCCACCCUAAUGAGAGGUACCAUGGGCUGAACGGGGUGUGAGGACCUGUCUGACGCCGAGAGCGCUGCACGGAGUGUGGAGCCAGGGCUCUGCAGGAUCUGCUUUUGUUAACCGUGACCCUGGAAGAGGGCUCUGGAGCGCACCCAGCACUAAGCAGCACGAGCACUCUGUGCUUAGAACCAGCCAAGGACAAGUGCACAGACUUGCUCUUGGGAACUGUUCGUUCACGGUCGAGCGUGGUCUCUGAACCGCCGCAUCUGAAGGCCUCUUCUAGGCCCUCUUCCCCGGGGACCACAGCGUCUGAACCCUCGGUCCUCCUUUCCCAAGGGUUCUCCUCCUCGGCUUCCCGCUCGCUCGCUGUCACCGUCCCCCU
This is a non-coding RNA of Sus scrofa (pig), 983 nucleotides long. NCBI's taxonomy places the organism in Eukaryota, Metazoa, Chordata, Mammalia, Artiodactyla, Suidae. The record is from RefSeq and is a predicted model, not a curated record.